Molecule: ribosomal RNA, 425 nt
Filed under: uncultured bacterium
Lineage: Bacteria
Description: partial 16S ribosomal RNA
Rfam family: Bacterial small subunit ribosomal RNA
Source: RNAcentral
GUAGGGAAUAUUGGACAAUGGGCGAAAGCCUGAUCCAGCAAUGCCGCGUGAGUGAUGAAGGCCUUAGGGUUGUAAAGCUCUUUUACCAGGGAUGAUAAUGACAGUACCUGGAGAAUAAGCUCCGGCUAACUCCGUGCCAGCAGCCGCGGUAAUACGGAGGGAGCUAGCGUUGUUCGGAAUUACUGGGCGUAAAGCGCGCGUAGGCGGCGAUUUAAGUCAGAGGUGAAAGCCCGGGGCUCAACCCCGGAAUAGCCUUUGAGACUGGAUUGCUAGAAUCCUGGAGAGGUGAGUGGAAUUCCGAGUGUAGAGGUGAAAUUCGUAGAUAUUCGGAAGAACACCAGUGGCGAAGGCGGCUCACUGGACAGGUAUUGACGCUGAGGUGCGAAAGCGUGGGGAGCAAACAGGAUUAGAUACCCGAGUAGUCC